GAUGAAGAACGCAGCGAAAUGCGAUAAGUAAUGCGAAUUGCAGAAUUUCCGUGAGUCAUCGAAUCUUUGAACGCACCUUGCGCCCUUUGGUAUUCCGAAGGGCACGCCCGUUUGAGUGUCAUUGUAAUCUCACUACAUCGACUUUUUGCCGUUGUAUGUGGACUUGGAUGUUGCUGUGUUGCAACGGCUCGUCUGAAAUGCCUGAGUGUACCCUGUUUUGCAGCGUAUUCGGUGUAAUAAAUCUUCACCGGAGUUGACUCUCGAGUCACGUUGGCUCUACAUGGCUCUAUGCUUCCAACCGUCGUGUCCGACAAUCUUUGACAAUUUGACCUCAAAUCGGGCGGGACUACCCGCUGAACUUAAGCAUAUCAAUAAGCGGAGGA
This 383-nucleotide unclassified non-coding RNA is filed under the name soil metagenome. RNAcentral's name for it is "partial contains 5.8S ribosomal RNA, internal transcribed spacer 2, and large subunit ribosomal RNA". The stretch from base 1 to 121 matches the Rfam family "5.8S ribosomal RNA", at positions 35 to 154 of the family's 154-position model. The record is from RNAcentral.